Long non-coding RNA from Pantherophis guttatus, 592 nucleotides. RefSeq lists it as uncharacterized. The record is from RefSeq and is a predicted model, not a curated record. Lineage: Eukaryota; Metazoa; Chordata; Lepidosauria; Squamata; Colubridae.
UAUAAGGCAAUAGGAUGUUAUUGAAGUAUAGUUUCUAACUUUUUUUUUUUUUGCUUGUUUGUUAUUAAGGUGGAAAUACAUUGUUUCUGUUUUGCUCAUGCUUGGGAUGAUCCUCCAGUCAACAAAGAACUUCCCCAGAACUUUUAGGUUCUCUGUGAGGGAGCUGUCAGCAUCCUCCAUAUGUUUAUCUUGGGCUGCUUCGGCUACGUUAUCCAUGCAAACAAAUUUCCAUCCUUUGGUAACUGGCAUGUCAAAUGGGUUGAACAAUGUGGGAGCCAGCACAGAGAGCUCUGUUUAUCGUCUGGGUACAAACAAGAGCAAACUGAAUAUUAUAUGAUAUGGGAAGUAUUUUAUCAAUGGUUGGAGAAUAAAAAUGGAGUUUGGAAAUGAAAAAACGAAAUGAAGAAGACUAAAGAAUAGAGCUGCUCCCAUACCAUGCAAGAAUGCUGUAUGUCAGAUGACCUCAUAAGAACCAUGGAGAAAGACAGAAAAAGAGAAAACAUAAAGAAGAUAAAGACUUGGUGUUUCUCAUGGUUUGGGUGAGCUAAUAUCCAACAGAAGAGUUAAGGGUCUCUGGGCUGGAGGUGAGAUA